Molecule: ribosomal RNA, 253 nt
Filed under: uncultured bacterium
Lineage: Bacteria
Description: partial 16S ribosomal RNA
Rfam family: Bacterial small subunit ribosomal RNA
Source: RNAcentral
UACGUAGGGUGCGAGCGUUAAUCGGAAUUACUGGGCGUAAAGUGUGCGCAGGCGGCAGAGCAAGUCGAGUGUGAAAGCCCCGGGCUUAACUUGGGAAUUGCGCUCGAAACUACUUUGCUGGAGUGUGGCAGAGGAAGGUGGAAUUCCACGUGUAGCGGUGAAAUGCUUAGAGAUGUGGAGGAACACCAAUGGCGAAGGCAGCCUUCUGGGCCAACACUGACGCUCAUGCACGAAAGCGUGGGGAGCAAACAGG